RNAcentral lists this ribosomal RNA (440 nucleotides) under uncultured bacterium. RNAcentral describes it as "partial 16S ribosomal RNA". It matches the Rfam family "Bacterial small subunit ribosomal RNA", at positions 338 to 795 of the family's 1533-position model. The record is from RNAcentral.
CCUACGGGAGGCAGCAGUGGGGAAUAUUGCACAAUGGGGGAAACCCUGAUGCAGCAACGCCGCGUGAGUGAAGAAGUAUUUCGGGAUGUAAAGCUCUAUCAGCAGGGAAGAAGAUGACGGUACCUGAUUAAGAAGCCCCGGCUAACUACGUGCCAGCAGCCGCGGUGAUACGUAGGGGGCAAGCGUUAUCCGGAUUUACUGGGUGUAAAGGGGGCGCAGACGGCAGUGCAAGUCUGGAGUGAAAGCCCGGGGACCAACCCCGGAACUGCUCUGGAAACUGUGCGGCUAGAGUACUGGAGGGGCAGGCGGAAUUCCUAGUGUAGCGGUGAAAUGCGUAGAUAUUAGGAGGAACACCAGUGGCGAAGGCGGACUGCUGGACAGUAACUGACGUUGAGGCUCGAAAGCGUGGGGAGCAAACAGGAUUAGAUACCCGAGUAGUC